Long non-coding RNA from Mus musculus (house mouse), 262 nucleotides. RefSeq annotates it as predicted gene, 42131. The transcript has 3 exons. NCBI's taxonomy places the organism in Eukaryota, Metazoa, Chordata, Mammalia, Rodentia, Muridae. The record is from RefSeq and is a predicted model, not a curated record.
AAUGAACCAACUGAAGCCAAAUCAGAAGUAUAAAGACAGGUUUAUUGAAUGGCAGCUCUUGGAGUUUUGGAAGACUCAAGGCAUCGUGGUCCAGAGGGUGUGGCUGAACAGUUCCUGCUGUGAUCUCUUAGCAAACGGAGAGAAGGAAUCCUGUUCAGACACUAGUACUGUGCACCACACGUUCUAGCUGUAACCCAUCCAGUCCUUCAGCUCUGGGAGGUCGUGGUCAAGAUAUUCUGUCUUCUCCUUGCCUCUUUGAAAU